CACAAAUAGCAGUAAAGUCAACAAGAAUUGAAACGGGAUAUUCACCUAGAAAAAAUUGUAGGAUCUUGAUGUAAGGAUUAGAGGUGUUGAUUGAUUUGACCCAGGUCCCGGCCAUGUAUACACAAUCUGAGGGCAGUCUUCAGCAGGUCCAGAGCUCCUCUCUUCCACUCCAUCCACCAUAUGACUUUGACCUCCUCCCUUGCCCUUUGAUCCCCUGCCUUGUGAUCAACUUUUCUCUUUGUCCACUCCUGAACAGUCAACCAUGGAUAAACACCUGUAUGAGCAUCUGGCAGAUGGCAUUAUCUAUCUACCUUUUCUCCAGUCGGUACGAAGUCCUUCUUCUUGAAGAUAUAUGGCUCUUUGCGGCUCUGCAUAGACUGUGGCUGAACGACAUAACUAUUAAGAAAAGGUUGGUAUGUUUGUUCAGAGGAUCUUCAGAGGCAGCAGAACAACCCAAAAUGUCAUUAAACAUCUCACAUGUUCAGUGGCAAAGAUGACGAAGAGACCAAGUGAAUUUUAAUUUAGUAAAUCAUAUUUAAUUAGAUUUCAUCUGUUCACAAUACCUUUUCCCAAAGAUAUUCAGGUGUGUUUUAUGAAAUGAUUUUACUCUCUUUUUUCCUCGACAGAAAAGUGCUCCAGGGUCUCUGACCACAUAAACACCCUUUCACUGGAUGUGGAACAGACUGAGUAAGGUUGAGUAACCUUUUUUCUGAAAGUCAGUUUGAAUUUGUGUGCCAGUUCCUUGGGUAAGUUUUCACUGACAUACAAGCAAUUCUUUGCAGCAAUUUGUCAAAUUUAGUUUUCUCUUGAAGCCACUUCCAGGCAGGUCAAUUGAAGUUCAGUAUGCCUCAAACUACCUGUUAAUAUCAUUUAUGGUGGAAACAGGAACGUCGAGGUCUCAAGAGAUGGAGUUCUGGCCUUGAGAUAGCGUGGCUACAUCCUUGUGGCUGAUCUCCUUAGACAUUUCCAUGGAUUCCAUUCUCUAUGCUUAGAGUGGUACAUCAAAAUCAUUUUCUCUUUCAGAAUGAUUCAGUGACUUUUUAUGCUAUGCAGGCAGAAGUGAGUUCAUUUCCAAUGUAAAGGUUCUAAGGGGCGCCAGAUUCUUGAUUUGCUCGCCCAGUCCCUCUGGAUCCAGGCCCUGUUUUACAGCAGUGUUAACAUUCUCAGUUGAAACAGUAAUAAUGGCAUAUUGACAAAGCAGAUUUGGUUAAUGUUCCAGUAUGUAUUUGUAAGUGUUUUCUAUUUACAAUAUGUUUUUGCAGCAUUGGGUGGUGUAGCCAAUCACAUAUCUGCUGACUUCUUGAACACAAUAUCUAAUCAGAGGGGUUGUUCAGUUAGUUCAGAAACCACUCAAGGUUUUAUUCAGUGCUGAGUUGUGCACACUUGUGAAUUCUCUCACUAUAACAAUGUUUUGAGGUAAUGGAAAUAAGAGAUUCAUUGUGCAAGUGUAGACUGCUUCAUUGAUUAUAAUGCAGGUUAGAGCAAGAGUGAUUUCUUCAUUCAUAAUUUAAUUAAAACUUCAUGCUGCUAAGUGGACCUAUACAGUGUUAAUUUUGACAGCAAUUUUUGAUUUAGUUUUAGUUAUGGUCUCUGGACUGAAAUGGCGUUUAGUUUUAGUCAUAUUUUUCAUCUGAACUGUUUUAAUCUUAGACUAGUUUUAGUAAACUAAAUAGACUUCUACUGUAGAUUUAGUCAACUAAAAUCUAAUGGGUUUAGUUACAGUGUAAUGCAUUUAUCACUAAAAUUUAUAUGAAUGAUAUUAAAGGGUUACUCCACCCCAAAAUGAAAAUUUUGUCAUUAAUCAUAUUAAUCACUCAUUAAUCAAGUUUGUCUUCAGAAUACAAUUUAAGAUAUUUUGGAUAAAAACCGGGAGGCUUGAGACUGUCCAAUAGACUGCCAAACAAAUAACAGUGUCAAGGUCCAGGAAAGUAUGAAAAGUAUCAUCAGAAUAGUCCAUCUGCCAUCAGUGAUUCAACCGUAACGUUAUGAAGUGACGACAGUACUUUUUGUACACGAAGAAAACAAAAAUAAUGACUUUAUUCAACAAGUUGUCUCCUCUGUGUCUCUCCACACCACCGUAGUGCCAUUUUGAAAAAUAUCCACUGAACGCAAACUGCGUACGCUCAAAAUAAAAUUAAUUAAUUAAUUAAAAAACACUUCUCAUAUUGAAGCAAGAACAUGGUCCUCUUUUUAAUGAAAUACAGAUGGUUAUAUAUUAUAACAACUUGCAUACAAUAUCCCUCAUUCUUUCAAGCAGACAUAUUAAUUUAUAUAAAUUAAAUUUAGAUUAAUCCUUAUUAAGGCUACUAAAGUGAUUCAUUCAAGAGCGGUGAGUAAUUUUCUCUUUUCUUUUUUCGUUCUGACUGGAUCUCUUCCCAAUAGUCCCUCCCUAACAUUUUCAUUUUGUUUUAAUUUAUUUAUGAAAUUGUUAGUAAAUUUUUAUCAUUUUGUUAUUCAAAAAGAGUUUUAUUUCAUUACCAUCUUGCUUUCAAUGCCGAAAAUUAUGACAAAUUAUUUGUCAACAAAAUUAACACUGCCUUCCCACAUAUACAGUGUAUGCUACAAAGUAAAAGAUGUAACUGCAUUUACUGUAAAUACUGAAUUCACUCUUGCAAUUGCAAUGACUGACAUAUAGUGAUAACCAUAGCAAUGGACAGGACAAAAGUAUAUACAGUACAGUAUGUUAAAAUGUUGCGAUUGAAAUGCAAUUUAUUCUAAAGCAGGGUUGUCAAACUAAGCUACUGGAGAGCCAUAUUCCUGCAAAGCUUUGUACCUUCUCCAGUACACCUGUCACAUUGUUUGCAAGUAAUUCUAAGCAGCUCGAUUGGCUCCUUCAGGUGUGUUUAGGUAGAAUUGAAGUUAAAGUCUGCAGGACCUUGGCCCUCCAGGAAUUGAGUUUGAACCCUUGUUCAACAGCAUUUUUGGGUUUGUGGCUUACAAAACUCAGCCAUGAACAUGACACUAUUUGGCUAAGAAUCAUAGCAAAAAUGGCUGAGAAAAGUGAAGUUAGUUAUGAGAAAUAUGACAUCAUUUAUUCGUGCAAACCACUUGAUUUUUUACAAUAAUAAAGUUUAACUAAGCUUUUUGGGGUAACAUUAGUCACACAUACACACCUCUCUGAGCUAGAUAGCCAAGCAUCCCUAAAACUGUUCCUCAACCAUUUCUGUGUUAGUUAUCUGUAAUAUAACCUGAAGUACUUCUGUGAUUUAUCAGGCAUAGCUGCGUUUACUGUGUCCCAUAUCACACAGGUAUGAAUCAUCACUCCACACCCUCCCAGCUCAGAGAUUUUCAUCAGAUCGGCAGCGCCAUAAAGGAGCUUUUGUUUGUUUCUAAUUGAACGAUUGGCAGGGGUGCUAUUACUUCCUAUUGCACACAGGUAGAAUGCUUUCACACAGCAUACCGUAGAGAGUUCAGGGAAAAUAGAGAGCUGGUGCUUGACCUUUCCGGGGAUUCUUGCAGCAUAUCAGCUUCCUUAAAAUCCAAACCAAAGCUCAGUAAUCGUAACAAAAUAAGACAAACCAACAAAUAGACCGCUAGGGGCAGAACAGAACAACCCUGCUGAGAUUCGCUCAAAAUGAAGUAUUGAACAUUAAGCAAUUAAGCAAUGGAUUAGAUCAAGAUAAUCAAUUAUUAUUAUGAUUGAUUAUGAUGAUUAAUUAAUGAAUAUUUUAAUCAUAUAAUAUAUUUUUCGCAUUUGGCUCCCAAACUCUGGAAUAGCCUUCCUGAUAAUGUUCGGGGCUCAGACACACUUCCUCUGUUUAAAUCUAGAUUAAAAACACACCUCUUUGGCCAAGCAUUCAAAUAAUGCAUCUCAUAAUUUUGGACUGCAGUUAUAUCUGAUCAAAUGUGCAUUAUUAUUCUUUAACUUGGGUUAAACUAAUUAAUUUUACUUGGCUGGAACAGCAGCUAUGCUAAUUAUGUCUCUAUUUGUUUCUCUGUUUUGCCACGGGAUUUACAUCCCGUGGUAACUAGGAUUUACACAAGCUCCAGUCUGGAUCCAGAACACCUGAGAAGAGAUGAUGCCAAACCCUCAGAGGACCUCAGAUGAUGCUAACCCAGAGACAACAUACAGAACUACCACAUUUUGCUCUAAGUUUGAUUGCAUAAUUGCUGUUAAUAGUGUUAAUCGUCUGUUUGUUUACGUCUUUUAUUGAUUUUUCUGAACAUUUCUGCCGUAUGCACAUAAACUGACAGUCACCACUGAUAAGCUACUACUAAAUAUUGUAGAAACUUAAUUUUCUGUAAAGUUGCUUUGCAAUGAUUUGUAUCGUAAAAAGCGCUAUACAAAUAAACUUGAAUUGAAUUGAAUAUAGCAUAAAUUAUAAUGACUAUAAUAAUAUUAGAUUUAUUUGGUCCAUUUAACUGGGUAAUAUUACAUUUAUAUUUAUUUUAUUCUAUAUAUGUGUAUAUUACAUUCAGUGAGGUUCACUAAACAUUUGAAAAUACUACAUUAAUUAUAUAGAACUUCCUUCUUAAUCUACAAGAAGAUUAAAAUGAAAGUGCACGGACACAAACCAUAUCUUUGGGUCUUUAAGUUGGGCUCUUUUGACUUGGCUCAAAAAGCAGUCACACAACAUCCACUGUGAAGACCAAAGUAACACCCUAAAUAGACUCAUAACAUCUUAGCAACUUUAUGACUUCAGUCUUGAAAUCAUUAAAAACACCCUAGCAUUUUUUUCCCACACACACUUCUUUAAAGUUCCA
This is a long non-coding RNA of Cyprinus carpio carpio, 4704 nucleotides long. The record is from Ensembl. Lineage: Eukaryota; Metazoa; Chordata; Actinopteri; Cypriniformes; Cyprinidae.